RNAcentral lists this ribosomal RNA (253 nucleotides) under uncultured bacterium. Its description in RNAcentral is "partial 16S ribosomal RNA". It matches the Rfam family "Bacterial small subunit ribosomal RNA", at positions 524 to 776 of the family's 1533-position model. The record is from RNAcentral.
UACAGGGGGUGCAAACGUUGCUCGGAAUUAUUGGGCGUAAAGCGCGCGUAGGCGGCUACCUAAGUCGGAUGUGAAAGCCCCUGGCUUAACUGGGGAAGUGCACCCGAAACUGGGUAGCUAGAGUACGAAAGAGGGUCGCGGAAUUCCCGGUGUAGAGGUGAAAUUCGUAGAUAUCGGGAGGAACACCGGUGGCGAAGGCGGCGACCUGGGUCGAUACUGACGCUGAGGCGCGAAAGCUAGGGGAGCAAACGGG